ACUACAUCUGCCCCAGUUGUCAUGGCCUCCUCCAGUUAUCCACUUCCUUCAGCUUGAUAGGGUCACAGGGGUGCUGGAGCCUGUUCCAGCUGUCACUGGACGAGAGGCGGACUACACCGUGAACUGGUCGCCAGUGCAGCGGAGGGCUGACACAGAGAGACAGACAUGCACACCUAUGGCCAAUUCAGAAUCACCAAUGAGCAUGUCUUUGGAUGGUGGGAGGAAGCUGAGUACCGAGAAAGAACCCAAAGGGGGAACAUGCAAAUUCCACACAGUAAGGCCCCAGUCGGAUUCAAACCCAGACCUUCUUGUUGUGAGGCAUCAGUGCUGACCACCGCACUACGUACUGCCCAGAAAUUACAUUACAGAAAAAAAUAAAAUAAAAUGUUGUACUGAUUUUAACUUCUGGCUUCAUGGGAGUUUUUAAUAGAUGUUAAAUCAUAAACAACUCCAAAAUGGAGAGUCUUUCAGUAAGAAAAGAAAUAACAAAAAACAAGUAUUUUGAUUAUGAACUUUUAAUAUUUUAUGCUGUCAUUUUACAUACAACAGUCUUUUGUGCAAGAUAACCAUUUUAGCAUGUUUUCAGAAAGACAGACUUCAGAGACUGCACAGCAUGUACCAUCAUCCUACCAUAGACCUCUUCCUCCCUCUUAACCGAACUUCAUCAAGCUUUUUAAUAACAAC
This is a long non-coding RNA of Mugil cephalus (flathead mullet), 684 nucleotides long. RefSeq lists it as uncharacterized. The record is from RefSeq and is a predicted model, not a curated record. NCBI's taxonomy places the organism in Eukaryota, Metazoa, Chordata, Actinopteri, Mugiliformes, Mugilidae. The transcript is spliced from 2 exons.